GGGUGGCUUAGUGGUAGGCCAUCUGCUUUGAAUGCAAAAGGUCCCCGGUUCAAUCUCUGGCAUCUCCA
This 68-nucleotide transfer RNA is filed under the name Sphaerodactylus townsendi. RNAcentral describes it as "tRNA-Ser". The record is from RNAcentral. Lineage: Eukaryota; Metazoa; Chordata; Lepidosauria; Squamata; Sphaerodactylidae.